UGGCACUCACUCUGGCAGCUAAUAUACUAAAACUGGAACAAUACAGAGAAGAUUAGCAUGGGCCCUGUGCAAAGAUGACACACAAAUUCUUGAAGGGUCCGUAUUUAAA
Molecule: small nuclear RNA, 109 nt
Filed under: Sus scrofa (pig)
Lineage: Eukaryota; Metazoa; Chordata; Mammalia; Artiodactyla; Suidae
Also listed under: 1 other name
Source: RNAcentral